UACGUAGGGGCCUAGCGUUGUUCGGAUUCACUGGGCGUAAAGGGUGCGUAGGCGGUCGGGUAAGUCUGACGUGAAAUCUUCAAGCUCAACUUGGAAACUGCGUCCGAUACUAUUCGGCUAGAGGAAUGGAGGGGAGACUGGAAUACUUGGUGUAGCAGUGAAAUGCGUAGAUAUCAAGUGGAACACCAGUGGCGAAGGCGAGUCUCUGGACAUUUCCUGACGCUGAGGCACGAAAGCCAGGGGAGCAAACGGG
RNAcentral lists this ribosomal RNA (253 nucleotides) under uncultured bacterium. RNAcentral's name for it is "partial 16S ribosomal RNA". It matches the Rfam family "Bacterial small subunit ribosomal RNA", at positions 524 to 776 of the family's 1533-position model. The record is from RNAcentral.